RNAcentral lists this ribosomal RNA (445 nucleotides) under uncultured bacterium. RNAcentral's name for it is "partial 16S ribosomal RNA". It matches the Rfam family "Bacterial small subunit ribosomal RNA", at positions 354 to 796 of the family's 1533-position model. The record is from RNAcentral.
GUGAGGAAUAUUGGACAAUGGGCGCAAGCCUGAUCCAGCCAUGUCGCGUGCAGGAAGACGCAUCUAUGGUGUGUAAACUGCUUUUGUACGGGAAGAAACACUCCCUCGUGAGGGAGCUUGACGGUACCGUAAGAAUAAGGAUCGACUAACUCCGUGCCAGCAGCCGCGGUAAUACGGAGGAUCCAAGCGUUAUCCGGAAUCAUUGGGUUUAAAGGGUCCGUAGGCGGUUUAAUAAGUCAGUGGUGAAAGCCCAUCGCUCAACGAUGGAACGGCCAUUGAUACUGUUAGACUUGAAUUACAAGGAAGUAACUAGAAUAUGUAGUGUAGCGGUGAAAUGCUUAGAUAUUACAUGGAAUACCAAUUGCGAAGGCAGGUUACUACUUGUGGAUUGACGCUGAUGGACGAAAGCGUGGGGAGCGAACAGGAUUAGAAACCCCAGUAGUCC